CGGGAAACCGGGGCUAAUACCGGAUGGUUGUCUGAACCGCAUGGUUCAGACAUAAAAGGUGGCUUCGGCUACCACUUACAGAUGGACCCGCGGCGCAUUAGCUAGUUGGUGAGGUAACGGCUCACCAAGGCGACGAUGCGUAGCCGACCUGAGAGGGUGAUCGGCCACACUGGGACUGAGACACGGCCCAGACUCCUACGGGAGGCAGCAGUAGGGAAUCUUCCGCAAUGGACGAAAGUCUGACGGAGCAACGCCGCGUGAGUGAUGAAGGUUUUCGGAUCGUAAAGCUCUGUUGUUAGGGAAGAACAAGUGCCGUUCAAAUAGGGCGGCACCUUGACGGUACCUAACCAGAAAGCCACGGCUAACUACGUGCCAGCAGCCGCGGUAAUACGUAGGUGGCAAGCGUUGUCCGGAAUUAUUGGGCGUAAAGGG
RNAcentral lists this ribosomal RNA (432 nucleotides) under Bacillus sp. (in: firmicutes). RNAcentral's name for it is "bacterial SSU rRNA". It matches the Rfam family "Bacterial small subunit ribosomal RNA", at positions 150 to 567 of the family's 1533-position model. Lineage: Bacteria; Bacillati; Bacillota; Bacilli; Caryophanales; Bacillaceae. The record is from RNAcentral.